Long non-coding RNA from Xenia sp. Carnegie-2017, 342 nucleotides. RefSeq lists it as uncharacterized. NCBI's taxonomy places the organism in Eukaryota, Metazoa, Cnidaria, Anthozoa, Malacalcyonacea, Xeniidae. The transcript is spliced from 2 exons. The record is from RefSeq and is a predicted model, not a curated record.
GAAAGUUACUCAGACAAGCAUUAACCUUUUAAAGUCUGGUAUAACUAGCUGCCUUAAAAACGCUGGGAUUGACUUAAACAACCUACCAGAGGUGAAUGAGUUAUUUGAUGAAGACAACCCAAUCUCAAAUCCUUUUGCUGGUAUUGACCAAGAGUUUCUCCAAUAUGAAUACUACAAGGAGUUUAAUCUUGUGGAACCACAAAAGAUUGUUCUUGGAAAAUACCACACUAAGAAAGGAAGGGGAAAUAGAUUGAGAGAUCUCAAAAAAACAGAUGAUGCAUACUAUAUUACCUUGUUGGAAAGUCUUCAACAGCUUCUUAAUGAUGAGUCAAUUCAUAAUGA